AGCAGCCGCGGUAAUUCCAGCUCCAAUAGCGUAUAUUAAAGUUGUUGCAGUUAAAAAGCUCGUAGUUGAAUUUCGGGAUUGACACAUCGGUCGUACCUUAAGGGUGUGAACUGGUGUAGUCAAUUUCUCACCUUCUGGAGAACCGCGAUGUCCUUAAUUGGGUGCCGCGAGGAACCAGGACCUUUACUUUGAAAAAAUUAGAGUGUUUAAAGCAGGCAUUUUUGCUUGAAUACAUUAGCAUGGAAUAAUAAAUAGGACGGCAUGAUUCUAUUUUGUUGGUUUCUAGGAUCACCGUAAUGAUUAAUAGGGAUAGUUGGGGGCAUUAGUAUUCAAUUGUCAGAGGUGAAAUUCUUGGAUUUAUUGAAGACUAACUACUGCGAAAGCAUUUGCCAAGGAUGUUUUCAUUAAUCAAGAACGAAAGUUAGGGAUCGAAGACGAUCAGAUACCGUCGUAGUCUUAACCAUAAACCUAUGACCGACUAGGAAUCAGACGAUGUUAAUUUUUAAUGACUUCGUUGGCA
RNAcentral lists this ribosomal RNA (520 nucleotides) under uncultured Entrophospora. RNAcentral describes it as "SSU rRNA". It matches the Rfam family "Eukaryotic small subunit ribosomal RNA", at positions 569 to 1085 of the family's 1831-position model. Lineage: Eukaryota; Fungi; Glomeromycota; Glomeromycetes; Entrophosporales; Entrophosporaceae. The record is from RNAcentral.